ACAUCCUACGGGGGGCAGCAGUGAGGAAUAUUGGUCAAUGGGCGGGAGCCUGAACCAGCCAAGUCGCGUGAGGGAUGACGGCCCUAUGGGUUGUAAACCUCUUUUGCCGGGGAGCAAAGUGCCGCACGUGUGCGGUUUGGAGAGUACCCGAAGAAAAAGCAUCGGCUAACUCCGUGCCAGCAGCCGCGGUAAUACGGAGGAUGCGAGCGUUAUCCGGAUUUAUUGGGUUUAAAGGGUGCGCAGGCGGAUUUUUAAGUCAGCGGUCAAAUCGUGGGGCUCAACCCCAUCCAGCCGUUGAAACUGGG
Molecule: ribosomal RNA, 305 nt
Filed under: uncultured bacterium
Lineage: Bacteria
Description: bacterial SSU rRNA
Rfam family: Bacterial small subunit ribosomal RNA
Source: RNAcentral